This 253-nucleotide ribosomal RNA is filed under the name uncultured bacterium. RNAcentral describes it as "partial 16S ribosomal RNA". It matches the Rfam family "Bacterial small subunit ribosomal RNA", at positions 524 to 776 of the family's 1533-position model. The record is from RNAcentral.
UACGAAGGGGGCUAGCGUUGUUCGGAAUCACUGGGCGUAAAGCGCACGUAGGCGGAUCUUUAAGUCAGGGGUGAAAUCCCGGGGCUCAACCUCGGAACUGCCUUUGAUACUGCAAGUCUCGAGUCCGAUAGAGGUGAGUGGAAUUCCUAGUGUAGAGGUGAAAUUCGUAGAUAUUAGGAAGAACACCAGUGGCGAAGGCGGCUCACUGGAUCGGUACUGACGCUGAGGUGCGAAAGCGUGGGGAGCAAACAGG